AAACAAUCAAUUACGAUUGCACCAACUACACCCAAAUUGUAGCCAACGCUUAAGUGAGGCUCCUGGUUGGAGGUCUCGGGGCGUGCUGGAGCCUAUCCCUGCUGUCUUUGGGCAGUCGGCGGGGGACACCCUGAACUGGUUGCCAGCCAAUCGCAGGGCACACAGAGGCAAACAACCAUCUGCUCACACUCACAACUAGGGACAAUUUAGAGUGUUCAAUCAGCCUGCCAUGCAGGUUUUUGGACUGUGGGAGGAAACCGAAGUACCCGGAGAAAACCCAUGCAGGCCUGGGUAGAAGAUGCAAACUCCACACAGGAAGUCCGGAGCUGGAAUCAAACCCGGUCCCUCUGCACUGUGAGGUCGAUGCGCUAACCAUUGGUCCACCGGGCCGCCGUGUAACGCAAUUUAUUUCUUAAAAAUCUGUAAGGCACUCGGGUUAUUGUAUGAUGACAAUAUAAGCACUGAAACGGUAUUUAUUAAUACCAACAAACACCGCUGGCUCCAAUUCGCUAGUUGCCCUCUAGAUGUCUCCUCUCACUUCUCUCCAAUGAAUGAGUGUCACAUGGUUUCUGUGGUUCAUAUCAACAAUCGCCAGCUCUCCAUGCAAUAGAGACAGAGUCUAUUGUUUGGAAGAUGCUUCACAUCAUUCAGUUUUUGUCUUUCCAUUGCAUUCCAUAUUGGUGGUCGAUUAAAAAAAAAGAUUUGGAUUCGCGAAUAGUAUUAAAACUGUUGCAUAUGAUAAAGGAGUAUUCUUUAUGACAGAUUAAUUUAAAUUUGCUGCAUUAUACUACAUCUGUGUGACCACUAUAAAAACACUUUCCAGACUGGUCUAAAAUUAAUUUACUUGUUUGAGGUACAGUUUUACACACCUGAUGACUCACACCACUGAGUCAAAACUAACCAGCAAUUUCCUAAACGUGACAGCUUGAUUGCAACCAUUUUUUUUCCAUUCUUUUAAUGGUGAUUGACCUUGCAAAGGCAGGAAUCAAUAGUUAGCUGAGGAUAUUAUGUUUAAUGCUGGUACUGUACAAAACUCAACUACCGGUAAAUCCCUCUCCUCACAAAGCGUUUCUUGUAAAAUCGAUAGUUGAGAACUAACGAAGCAUGAAAUAUGUUGUGGUUUUGUGUGUGACAAAGCUAUCCCCGUAAAAUAAAAUGUUAGGAAUCGUUGCAAUGGCCAGGAGGACCAGGAAAUUAUAUUUAUUUAGCCAUGUAAACAUCAAACUGGAUCACCAGUCUUCUUGCAGAAACACAUGUCUUCUUCUCGACUAAUCCACUUGAGUUAUGACAGUGCAGCACAUGUGUUGGCUUGGUAACCAAUCCAGUAUCCAGUAGCAACAGAAGUCUAUUGAACGCUCUCUAUUGGCUGAUGUGACCAACGCUAUCAUGUCACCAAGUCACAGGGACAAAUCCAUACAGCAGCAGAGGAUAAUGAGUUUGCUGUGCAUUAUUCGACCCAGUAGUCAAAACUGUGUGCGCAAGAUUGGGUAGGGGUCAUUGUUGAGCUGAUAUUACAAAUAAAUACCCUGCACAACUUCA
Hippocampus zosterae (dwarf seahorse) is the source of this 1539-nucleotide long non-coding RNA. RefSeq lists it as uncharacterized. The record is from RefSeq and is a predicted model, not a curated record. Lineage: Eukaryota; Metazoa; Chordata; Actinopteri; Syngnathiformes; Syngnathidae. The transcript is spliced from 2 exons.